UACGAAGGGGGCUAGCGUUGCUCGGAAUUACUGGGCGUAAAGGGCGCGUAGGCGGAUAUUUAAGUUGGGGGUGAAAUCCCGGGGCUCAACCUCGGAAUUGCCUUCAAAACUGGAUAUCUUGAGUUCGGGAGAGGUGAGUGGAACUCCGAGUGUAGAGGUGAAAUUCGUAGAUAUUCGGAAGAACACCAGUGGCGAAGGCGACUCACUGGCCCGAUACUGACGCUGAGACGCGAAAGCGUGGGGAGCAAACAGG
Molecule: ribosomal RNA, 253 nt
Filed under: uncultured bacterium
Lineage: Bacteria
Description: partial 16S ribosomal RNA
Rfam family: Bacterial small subunit ribosomal RNA
Source: RNAcentral